GUGGGGAAUAUUGGACAAUGGGCGAAAGCCUGAUCCAGCCAUGCCGCGUGUGUGAAGAAGGUCUUCGGAUUGUAAAGCACUUUAAGUUGGGAGGAAGGGCAGUAAGUUAAUACCUUGCUGUUUUGACGUUACCGACAGAAUAAGCACCGGCUAACUUCGUGCCAGCAGCCGCGGUAAUACGAAGGGUGCAAGCGUUAAUCGGAAUUACUGGGCGUAAAGCGCGCGUAGGUGGUUUUGUAAGUUGGAGGUGAAAUCCCCGGGCUCAACCUGGGAAAUGCAUCCAAAACUGCAUGACUAGAGUACGGUAGAGGGUAGUGGAAUUUCCUGUGUAGCGGUGAAAUGCGUAGAUAUAGGAAGGAACACCAGUGGCGAAGGCGACUACCUGGACUGAUACUGACACUGAGGUGCGAAAGCGUGGGGAGCAAACAGGAUUAGAAACCCGAGUAGUCC
Molecule: ribosomal RNA, 450 nt
Filed under: uncultured bacterium
Lineage: Bacteria
Description: partial 16S ribosomal RNA
Rfam family: Bacterial small subunit ribosomal RNA
Source: RNAcentral